RNAcentral lists this long non-coding RNA (840 nucleotides) under Nicotiana tabacum (common tobacco). Its description in RNAcentral is "long non-coding RNA (NTAB_LNC019166)". The record is from RNAcentral. Lineage: Eukaryota; Viridiplantae; Streptophyta; Magnoliopsida; Solanales; Solanaceae.
GACAUUAAAAACUGAAUAUCUUGACAGACCUGCUUUCACAUCAAGAAAAUUCACACAUAUUAGACUUCAAAAUAGGAAGGUGUACUUCCAGGUCCCAAAUUAAAAUAAAAUAGAAGAGAACAACAUCAAUAGAAAAACAUAUGAGUGAAUCACCAAAAAGUAAAAACAGGGAAAAUAAAAUUACUCCGCCAAAUCAGAGAAAUAAAAGAGAACAAAUAGUGUUUGAAAACAAUUAUUAUCAGGUAAAACACAUCAAUGAAUUACCCAAAACAAUUAGGUAAAAAUUAAUUACAUCAAAUACAAUAUUCUAGGCCAAUAAAUUGAAAAAAAGAUAUAGAAAGAAGGAAAAAUGAUUCCAAAGCGAUCGACCUGGUAUAAGAAUACGUUGAAUUUGUCCCUCCGAGCAACUUGUCUCCUUCCUAUUAUAUUACCAUGAUUAAUAAUGAGAAAGCAAUAGGGAGAGAUUUCUAUCGCUUAAAAAAAAGCAAGAGGGAGAAUUCUAAAGCUUUGCCUGAUAUAAGUCCUUCAUUUGAGUAUACGCAGUUUUUGCUCAUUACUGCUUCUAAUGAAUCUCAAUAUUGGAUUGGCAAUUAGGAAGAUAAAAUGAAAUACAACCAAUUUGUAGAAGAGAAGAACCAUUACUAUAAACCUUUUCAUUGUGCAUAACGUUUCGGCUAUUAUUUGCAUGACAACGUUUAGGUAUAGUCAUGUGUAAUUGAUUGUUAGAGUCGGUUACAAAAUACAUAAUUAUAGAAAAUAAAAAAAGAACCAAACAAUGAGAGAAAAAGCUAAAAAAAUAAGAAAAAAGAUAAAUAGCAAUCCUAGUCUAUGAGAGGUGCC